CUUACACAUGCAAGUCGAACGGCAGCACGGGUGCUUGCACCUGGUGGCGAGUGGCGAACGGGUGAGUAAUACAUCGGAACAUGUCCUGUAGUGGGGGAUAGCCCGGCGAAAGCCGGAUUAAUACCGCAUACGAUCUACGGAUGAAAGCGGGGGACCUUCGGGCCUCGCGCUAUAGGGUUGGCCGAUGGCUGAUUAGCUAGUUGGUGGGGUAAAGGCCUACCAAGGCGACGAUCAGUAGCUGGUCUGAGAGGACGACCAGCCACACUGGGACUGAGACACGGCCCAGACUCCUACGGGAGGCAGCAGUGGGGAAUUUUGGGCAAUGGGCGAAAGCCUGAUCCAGCAAUGCCGCGUGUGUGAAGAAGGCCUUCGGGUUGUAAAGCACUUUUGUCCGGAAAGAAAUCCUUGGCUCUAAUACAGCCGGGGGAUGACGGUACCGGAAGAAUAAGCACCGGCUAACUACGUGCCAGCAGCCGCGGUAAUACGUAGGGUGCAAGCGUUAAUCGGAAUUACUGGGCGUAAAGCGUGCGCAGGCGGUUUGCUAAGACCGAUGUGAAAUCCCCGGGCUCAACCUGGGAACUGCAUUGGUGACUGGCAGGCUAGAGUAU
RNAcentral lists this ribosomal RNA (608 nucleotides) under uncultured Burkholderia sp. RNAcentral's name for it is "bacterial SSU rRNA". It matches the Rfam family "Bacterial small subunit ribosomal RNA", at positions 48 to 649 of the family's 1533-position model. The record is from RNAcentral. Lineage: Bacteria; Pseudomonadati; Pseudomonadota; Betaproteobacteria; Burkholderiales; Burkholderiaceae.